UACAGAGGUCUCAAGCGUUGUUCGGAUUCAUUGGGCGUAAAGGGUGCGUAGGCGGCGCCGUAAGUCGGAUGUGAAAUCUCAGGGCUCAACCCUGAAACUGCAUUCGAUACUGCGGUGCUCGAGGACUCGAGAGGAGAUUGGAAUUCACGGUGUAGCAGUGAAAUGCGUAGAUAUCGUGAGGAAGACCAGUGGCGAAGGCGGAUCUCUGGAGAGUUCCUGACGCUGAGGCACGAAGGCCAGGGGGGCAAACGGG
This 253-nucleotide ribosomal RNA is filed under the name uncultured bacterium. Its description in RNAcentral is "partial 16S ribosomal RNA". It matches the Rfam family "Bacterial small subunit ribosomal RNA", at positions 524 to 776 of the family's 1533-position model. The record is from RNAcentral.